Molecule: ribosomal RNA, 482 nt
Filed under: uncultured bacterium
Lineage: Bacteria
Description: partial 16S ribosomal RNA
Rfam family: Bacterial small subunit ribosomal RNA
Source: RNAcentral
AUUGAACGCUGGCGGCAUGCUUUACACAUGCAAGUCGAACGGUAACAGGCCGCAAGGUGCUGACGAGUGGCGAACGGGUGAGUAAUGCAUCGGAACGUGCCCAGUCGUGGGGGAUAACUACUCGAAAGAGUAGCUAAUACCGCAUACGAUCUAUGGAUGAAAGCGGGGGACCGUAAGGCCUCGCGCGAUUGGAGCGGCCGAUGUCAGAUUAGGUAGUUGGUGGGGUAAAGGCUCACCAAGCCAACGAUACGUAGCUGGUCUGAGAGGACAACCAGCCACACUGGGACUGAGACACGGCCCAGACUCCUACGGGAGGCAGCAGUGGGGAAUUUUGGACAAUGGGCGCAAGCCUGAUCCAGCAAUGCCGCGUGCAGGAAGAAGGCCUUCGGGUUGUAAACUGCUUUUGUACGGAACGAAACGGCUCUGGUUAAUACCCGGGGCUAAUGACGGUACCGUAAGAAUAAGCACCGGCUAACUACGUG